GAAAUGCGAUAAGUAAUGUGAAUUGCAGAAUUCAGUGAAUCAUCGAAUCUUUGAACGCACCUUGCGCUCCUUGGUAUUCCUUGGAGCAUGCCUGUUUGAGUAUUAUGAAAUCUUCAAAGUAAAUCUUUUGUUAACUCAAUUGGUUUCUACUUUGGUAUUGGAGGUCUUUGCAGCUUCACACCUGCUCCUCUUUGUUCAUUAGCUGGAUCUCAGUGUUAUGCUUGGUUCCACUCGGCGUGAUAAGUUAUCUAUCGCUGAGGACACUGUAAAAGGUGGCCAAGGUAAAUGCAGAUGAACCGCUUCUAAUAGUCCAUUGACUUGGACAAUACUUUUAUGAUCUGAUCUCAAAUCAGGUAGGACUACCCGCUGAACUUAAG
Molecule: unclassified non-coding RNA, 377 nt
Filed under: plant metagenome
Description: partial contains 5.8S ribosomal RNA, internal transcribed spacer 2, and large subunit ribosomal RNA
Rfam family: 5.8S ribosomal RNA (bases 1-105)
Source: RNAcentral